This 208-nucleotide long non-coding RNA is filed under the name Hordeum vulgare. Its description in RNAcentral is "long non-coding RNA (HVUL_LNC001241)". Lineage: Eukaryota; Viridiplantae; Streptophyta; Magnoliopsida; Poales; Poaceae. The record is from RNAcentral.
UUUAUUUGUUUUUCUUUUCAUUACUCCAUGAGGAAGCUCGCAAUCAGAAGGCAUACGACAGAAACACACGAUUACAUGAUGGUGGAGGUGCCAUUGGAGGCAGUGGUGGAUCUCAGGAUCAAGUUCCAGCCUACAAAUUGCCAUGGAGUCCGAGUACCGACCUAUGAGGUGUGGUUUUAAUAGAAGGAAGAAAAAUACAUACAAAGAA